Molecule: ribosomal RNA, 208 nt
Filed under: uncultured bacterium
Lineage: Bacteria
Description: partial 16S ribosomal RNA
Rfam family: Bacterial small subunit ribosomal RNA
Source: RNAcentral
CUCGUAGGUGGUUCGGUAAGUCGGGUGUGAAAACUCUGGGCUCAACUCAGAGACGCCACCUGAUACUGCCGUGACUUGAGUCUGGUAGGGGAGUGUGGAAUUUCCGGUGUAGCGGUGAAAUGCGCAGAUAUCGGAAGGAACACCAGUGGCGAAGGCGGCACUCUGGGCCAGUACUGACACUGAGGAGCGAAAGCGUGGGUAGCGAACA